GAUAAAUGUGCCUCAAUUCUUAAGAAAACUGAUGCUUGAUCUAAGAAAUGGAUAAAAGAGUUUAUUCACAUUAAAAUACCUGCCUUUGAGGCUAAGGUAAUCCGGUAAUCUCCCAGUGAUGAGCAAAUCACGCAUUCUCCAUUAAUACUGGAUGCAGUUAGACAACCUGCCU
This is a long non-coding RNA of Lutra lutra (Eurasian river otter), 172 nucleotides long. RefSeq lists it as uncharacterized. The transcript has 2 exons. Lineage: Eukaryota; Metazoa; Chordata; Mammalia; Carnivora; Mustelidae. The record is from RefSeq and is a predicted model, not a curated record.